GAAAGAAGUAGAAUGAGGAAAGGCAGGAGAGAAAUAGGAAAAAGACAGUGCAAAAGCGAAAGAGCAGAGUAUAAGCGAAUGGAUGAAGGCGAUGUGAUCCAUAAAAGAAUCCGAGGUAAAGAAACGAAAAGACGUAACGCGUGUCAAGUGCCACGCACGACUGAUCGCCCGUGGUCGGAUAAGUCAGAAAUAUAUUUAUUUAUUAUAAACUCGAAACCAGCUGAUAAUAUAUAAUUGUUGGAACGCAAAAUUCUAAUAUCGCUUCACUUUUAUCAAGAAUCGAUGAUCCUACAGUAUUUAUAGCUAACGAAAAAAAAGGAUUAAAAGCUGAAGCGCUUAAAGAAAUUUUUGAAGUAUUGUUUCGAAUUUAUGAAGUAAUUAUUCGCUUCAUUGAAUCCGUAAAAAGAGCAUGUAAAACGAAUACAUAUGUAAAAAAUUUAAAUCUUAGAUACAAACACCUGUAGUUAUAUAAUAUAUGUGUAUACAUAUAGUUAUUACAUUGUUGGCAAAAUAAUGCUGCCAUUUUUAAUAUAAUAUUAUUUCAUAUACAAAA
Molecule: long non-coding RNA, 553 nt
Organism: Apis cerana (Asiatic honeybee)
Lineage: Eukaryota; Metazoa; Arthropoda; Insecta; Hymenoptera; Apidae
Source: RefSeq, a predicted model, not a curated record